AAAGUUUUUCUUGUUAGAAAGUUUAACAGGGGUACGCAGGUGAUGCUGAAGAGGUUCAUCGAAUGGACACUGGAGUAACAUUCAUGAUGUCGAUCAGACGUCCAUCUUUGAAAUAUUCUUUAAAAAACUAUCUGUGUGUUUUUGUAGCAACUUUAAGUAACAGGGCGUUCAUACCACAUGUUAUAAGAAAAUAACCAUUACAGUGUGUUAAUAGUUGUAUAUAUUUUUAAUAUAUCUUAUAACGACUCUCUUUGUACCAACAGGAAGGAGGAAGAGGGCGACUUUACUUGGUGUCAGUGACAGAAAUGAGAAAAAGCUGAAAUGAGUGAGAAGGACGAUGAAGGAAACAUCUGUGCUGUGUCUGCUCUCUGCAGCUGCAGUCUGCUCAGCAGUGAGAACUGAAGACGUCAGUCAAAGAGAAGAAAAACAGUCAGAGCUGAGAGAGUUUCUACCAGAGCCAAAUGUCAUCGACUCCUCACUGAAGUCGUCCACCAGUCCAACCACUGGAAUCCAGCUGCUGCUCUCUAACUGGUCCACACAGCAGCUCAGACCUGACACAUUCACUGUAAACACACUGGUUUAUAUUCUGUUUGUUCUCCUCAUGAAGGAAACCUCACACAACCACUGAGGGCAGAAAGUUCAAACAGGACAGUUAUUAUUCCUUUCUUUUAUAAAGAAGCUGGAAAACUGACUUUCCCAAACUUUUUAUAUUAAAAAGAUAACAUUUUCUUUACCAAACCUUUCAGAAUAAAAGCAUGACCAAGACAUCAUUUAUACAUAAACAGUAAUAAAUCUUAUGUGACUACAAUGUAGAUGUAAUCCAUGUUUUCAUGUCUUCAGUAACUUUGCUGUUAUUUAUGUUAUUUCUAAGUGUGCUGUCGUCUCCACAGCAGUGAUCUGGUUUCUCUGCAGGUUCAAUAAACUUUGGUCUCACUUGA
Oreochromis niloticus (Nile tilapia) is the source of this 938-nucleotide long non-coding RNA. RefSeq lists it as uncharacterized. The record is from RefSeq and is a predicted model, not a curated record. NCBI's taxonomy places the organism in Eukaryota, Metazoa, Chordata, Actinopteri, Cichliformes, Cichlidae. The transcript has 3 exons.